Molecule: ribosomal RNA, 253 nt
Filed under: uncultured bacterium
Lineage: Bacteria
Description: partial 16S ribosomal RNA
Rfam family: Bacterial small subunit ribosomal RNA
Source: RNAcentral
UACAGAGGGUGCGAGCGUUGUCCGGAAUCACUGGGCGUAAAGGGCGCGUAGGCGGCUUGAUAAGUAGGGGGUGAAAUCUUGCGGCUCAACUGCAAGGCUGCCUCCUAAACUGUCAGGCUUGAGCACAGUAGAGGCAGGUGGAAUUCCCGGUGUAGCGGUGGAAUGCGUAGAGAUCGGGAAGAGCAUCGGUGGCGAAGGCGACUGCCUGGACCAGCACUGACACUGAGGCACGAAAGCGUGGGGAGCAAACAGG